GUGGGGAAUAUUGCACAAUGGGGGGAACCCUGAUGCAGCGACGCCGCGUGCGGGAUGACGGCCUUCGGGUUGUAAACCGCUUUUAAUUGGGAGCAAGCAGACUUUUGUUUGUGAGUGUACUUUUUGAAUAAGCACCGGCUAACUACGUGCCAGCAGCCGCGGUAAUACGUAGGGUGCAAGCGUUGUCCGGAAUUAUUGGGCGUAAAGAGCUCGUAGGCGGUUUGUCGCGUCUGGUGUGAAAGUCCAUCGCUUAACGGUGGAUUUGCGCUGGGUACGGGCAGGCUAGAGUGUAGUAGGGGAGACUGGAAUUCCCGGUGUAACGGUGGAAUGUGUAGAUAUCGGGAAGAACACCAAUGGCGAAGGCAGGUCUCUGGGCUAUGACUGACGCUGAGGAGCGAAAGCGUGGGGAGCGAACAGGA
Molecule: ribosomal RNA, 419 nt
Filed under: uncultured bacterium
Lineage: Bacteria
Description: bacterial SSU rRNA
Rfam family: Bacterial small subunit ribosomal RNA
Source: RNAcentral